AGCCAAAGACAAUAAGUUUUGGGGUGAGAGUUCUCGAGGGACAUGCUUUUUGCAAUGCAUGGAAUCGAGAAUGAUGUCAAUCAAAUUUGCAUAACGUUGUGUUUCUCCGUAUGUCUCAAGUGCAUAAUCUAGACAAAUC
This is a non-coding RNA of Caenorhabditis elegans, 139 nucleotides long. The record is from Ensembl. Lineage: Eukaryota; Metazoa; Nematoda; Chromadorea; Rhabditida; Rhabditidae.